CACAGAGCUAAGCUGUAUAGUGAGACCAACAUAUUACAAAUGGCAACACUCAUUUGAAUCGAAGGACACAGGGAGAAGGCCUUUGGAGUGAGUUUUAACCUUACAUAUGCUGGCGUGCCAUAAAAACCUUCCACUUAUACAACACACGCCCAUUUUUAAUGUCACUGAGCUGCUCUUUGGCUUGAGCAUUAUUUUUCCCUGAAGAACACGUGCUGAAUGGUUCAUCAGGGUUGUUUUUUUUUCCAAUUCUUGCAGGUUUUUAUUAAUAAUUCUGGAAUCUGACUGAUUGCUUGUAUUAAUAUCUGAAUUUUCUACAAUGGCAAAGCACAACAUCACACGUGCUCUUUUCAUUGUGCUGGCGUUGGCCUUUUUCAUCACCACUAUGGUGUUCACAGCUCUGGCAGGACCAGGAUUAUAUCCUUUUCUAUCGAGCACUGGGAAUAUUUCAGCUGACUUCUCCACCCAGAUAACACCAGCUGGUUGGGCAUUCUCCAUUUGGGGAAUAAUUUACUCAUUUCUAGCUUGUUCAUUGGUCUUCAUCCUCUCUGGCCUUUUUAGAAAAAAUGCCUAUGGUUACAUCUACUGCAGCCCUGCUGUGCUGCCACGUGCAUUCUUUAUAACAUGGUGCCUAAAUCUGGGCUUGAAUGUCAGCUGGUUGUUUCUGUGGGACAGAAGGUAUAUGGUUCCUGCUCUUGUAUUUCUCUGCCUCAUCGCAUCAACAAACUAUAAGAUGAUCUUCCUCUCCUGCUAUGGUCUACAAGCAUAUGGACCCUGGCUCAACAAGUACCACAAAGUCGACCUGUGGCUGUAUCGUGUGUUGAUUCAGAAUGGGAUUGCCAUAUACGCAACAUGGACAACCAUUGCAUCACUGCUAAACCUUACCAUUGUCCUGACUAGCAAUGAAGGCAUGUCUCAGACGGAUGCUGCCACCCUGUCACUCUCCAUUUUGGCUGUGAUGGUGGUUGUUUGGUUCAUCCUGGAAAACUCUUACUUCGAAAAACAUGUGAGGUUUAUCCUCAGCAUCUACCCUGUUUUGAUUUGGUCUCUGACUGGGGUGUUGACCAAAAACUACAAUGCAGCUGCUCCCACAAGGAAUGACAUCUUCAUUGCUGCGCUGCUCGCUGUAGCCUGUGUGCUGUGUGCCUCUCGGGUGGUUUUGGUCAUCUGGAGGCAAAUGAUACAGCCCAUUUUCAAAGAUGUGGACCCCGAUGACAUGGUUCCAAUGGAGAUAGCUGAAAGGCAGAAGACAAUCUUUAAAUAAUAUUAGUAAUUAGGUGUUUUGUGCCACAUGGCAGAUGAAAGGGUCAAACUCUAUCAUAAAAUGCAAUUAAAUGGGGUCACCGAAGACAAAAAACACAAACAAAAACAAAGCAUAUUUCUAGAUUUAGAUGGUUUAACCCCCCUCCCCAACCAGAAUAAUAUGCCUAGGUCAAUGUCUGAUGUGUCUGGAUAAUCAAAGAUGGAAUUCUACGGACGUUUCUGGCUAUAGACAGUCCAAUAACAGCCUCAUAAACCUCUAGUGGCCCCAAAGCUUCUUCACCCUUAUCUGAGAAGAAUUAAAUGUUUGUGACUUUAUCAACAAUAUACUUAAGCCUUAGGUUUUGGGAUGAGCAUGCAUUGGGCUUAACCUUAGACACAUUGAUCCUCCCAACUAUCAGUUCUAGGUGUAAGCAUAUCAUCAUUAUAUACUUAAGCCGGGUCACCCUCUUUUUUGUCACUGUACUGGUUUAACAGAUUACACACCACACAAUAUGCACCAGAGUAGCAUCACAUUACACUUUCAGCACAACCAAAAUAACUGUUAACCACUUCAGCCAUUGUCCCACCCUAAAUCCCUCUUCCCUGUUCUUUUCCCCCUCACCCAGGUGUGUAACACUGACCUCUCUUUUUAUUAUAUUUAUUCAAUAAAAUAGAGGAAUUUGUUUCA
Molecule: long non-coding RNA, 1927 nt
Organism: Gouania willdenowi (blunt-snouted clingfish)
Lineage: Eukaryota; Metazoa; Chordata; Actinopteri; Blenniiformes; Gobiesocidae
Source: Ensembl